RNAcentral lists this ribosomal RNA (446 nucleotides) under uncultured bacterium. RNAcentral describes it as "partial 16S ribosomal RNA". It matches the Rfam family "Bacterial small subunit ribosomal RNA", at positions 330 to 793 of the family's 1533-position model. The record is from RNAcentral.
GCCAGACUCCUACGGGAGGCAGCAGUGGGGAAUAUUGCACAAUGGGGGAAACCCUGAUGCAGCGACGCCGCGUGAGCGAAGAAGUACAUCGGUAUGUAAAGCUCUAUCAGCAGGGAAGAAGAUGACGGUACCUGACCAAGAAGCUCCGGCUAAAUACGUGCCAGCAGCCGCGGUAAUACGUAUGGAGCAAGCGUUAUCCGGAUUUACUGGGUGUAAAGGGAGCGCAGGCGGCCUUGCAAGUCUGAAGUGAAAUGCCGGGGCUUAACCCCGGAACUGCUUUGGAAACUGAGCAGCUAGAGUGCAGGAGAGGUAAGUGGAAUUCCUAGUGUAGCGGUGAAAUGCGUAGAUAUUAGGAGGAACGCCAGUGGCGAAGGCGGCUUACUGGACUGUAACUGACGUUGAGGCUCGAAAGCGUGGGGAGCAAACAGGAUUAGAUACCCGCGUAA